GACGAACGCUGGCGGCGUGCUUAACACAUGCAAGUCGAACGGAAAGGCCCUGCUUUUGUGGGGUGCUCGAGUGGCGAACGGGUGAGUAACACGUGGGUAACCUGCCCUGGACUUUGGGAUAACUUCAGGAAACUGGGGCUAAUACCGGAUAGGAGCUCCUGCUGCAUGGUGGGGGUUGGAGAGUUUCGGCGGUUGGGGAUGGACUCGCGGCUUAUCAGCUUGUUGGUGGGGUAGUGGCUUACCAAGGCUUUGACGGGUAGCCGGCCUGAGAGGGUGAACGGCCACAUUGGGACUGAGAUACGGCCCAGACUCCUACGGGAGGCAGCAGUGGGGAAUAUUGCACAAUGGGCGGAAGCCUGAUGCAGCAACGCCGCGUGCGGGAUGACGGCCUUCGGGUUGUAAACCGCUUUCGCCUGUGACGAAGCGUGAGUGACGGUAAUGGGUAAAGAAGCACCGGCUAACUACGUG
Molecule: ribosomal RNA, 468 nt
Filed under: uncultured bacterium
Lineage: Bacteria
Description: partial 16S ribosomal RNA
Rfam family: Bacterial small subunit ribosomal RNA
Source: RNAcentral